This 253-nucleotide ribosomal RNA is filed under the name uncultured bacterium. Its description in RNAcentral is "partial 16S ribosomal RNA". It matches the Rfam family "Bacterial small subunit ribosomal RNA", at positions 524 to 776 of the family's 1533-position model. The record is from RNAcentral.
UACGAAGGGGGCUAGCGUUGCUCGGAAUCACUGGGCGUAAAGCGCACGUAGGCGGUUCUUUAAGUCAGGGGUGAAAUCCUGGAGCUCAACUCCAGAACUGCCUUUGAUACUGGGGAUCUCGAGUCCGGAAGAGGUGAGUGGAACUCCGAGUGUAGAGGUGAAAUACGUAGAUAUCUGGAGGAACACCGGUGGCGAAGGCGGCUACCUGGCCCAACAUUGACGCUGAGACCCGAAAGCAUGGGGAUCAAACAGG